Lolium rigidum is the source of this 3417-nucleotide long non-coding RNA. RefSeq lists it as uncharacterized. NCBI's taxonomy places the organism in Eukaryota, Viridiplantae, Streptophyta, Magnoliopsida, Poales, Poaceae. The transcript has 8 exons. The record is from RefSeq and is a predicted model, not a curated record.
CCGCCUGCACCUCUGUUCUUCAUCCUCCUUCGACGUGUGCCUCUGUUCUUCCUCCGCCUGCGCCGCCUGCUACCAGACCAGGAUGAACUGCCAAAGUAGGUACGAAGGUGACGAUCUUGCGCUUUAAUCAAAUUUCAGUAUUUUCGGUCUGAUUUCAGGCGGAUUUCUAGAUUAAAGCAUUCAGCAAAUAUGUUUCUCUCCGCCUUCGCGGACGGCCAACCUUGACUCCCGUUCAGGCCGUCCAGUGGGCUCUGUUCAACGGAAUCGGCAAAAGGGCACCAGGCCCAUCCGGAUCGGAAGACCGGUUCUCCUUCCACACGGGUUAAUUGUAUCUCCUGCCGCCCGUAACCGUGGAUUGAUGACGCUGGUACCGUCGUAAUCAUGGAUUGAUGACGCUGCGAACAUCUUUCCUCACUACACCCAUCUCACAUUGGACAUCUCAUUAGUCAUCCGACAUGCUGGUUGCUUAGGGAUUGUUGUCGUCGUAUUUUCCAGAUUAUUAUUCACGGAUUCGUCUGACCAGUGUGACCUUCAUUAUUAUUUCACAAUGGCUGCUGGACAGGAUAUGCCUCUGUAGAAAAGAUGACAAAGCGUUCUCGAGCACGAACUCAAUUGAACGAUCCCGUCCAACCACGUUUUUUCGCGGCUCAAGUAGUUCUGGGCCCCAAAGUAAGAGGGCAAGGAUUAAUGAACCAAUUGCUAUGUCCAAUCCCAAUUUUCCUAGAAAAAGAAGGAUUGGCCCUCUCGGUUGUUUGGGAUUUUUUAUUUAGUAACUGCUGACACACAGUGUUUGACCUUCAUUUGUGACGAUGGUUGAUGUACAUGUACUCUCGUUUAUGCAAAUUUAGCUCUUAUUACUCAUCUGUUGUUAACCUUUCUUAUCAUUUUAUUUACAUGGCCAUCACAUUUCUGUUAGAGGGUAUUAGUAGUACUACAGAAAAGUGCCAUAUGCCUCGCUACUUAUUCUUUUCCAGAAAGAAUGGCAAGCUGAAGAAGCUGGAUGCUAUGCGGAAGAAGCAUACACAAUCUUUGCACCUCCUGAGCAGCCUAGAAAGGUGGAGUCAUCUUUUUCCACUUUGGUAAUACCAUUUUUUAUCAGUUCAUGAGUUGUAAUGGUGUUUAGCAUUACUGUAUUUUAACUCUUUAUGUUUUUAUUCGAGCUGUUCAUCCUACACUCUUAUAAUACCUUGUUAUAUUUUCCAAGAUAAGUGUAGUUCGUACCAUCUUACUUUGAUUCGUAGGAAACAACAUCCAUAGGCUAUAGGUUUCUUAUGUACUCAUGUACCGUGUGUGUAUGGAGACAGUUAGAAAUUUUCCUUUUUGCAAGUUUCUACAUAUUCUUGGAGAUACAAAUUUUCGAUUAUUGCACAUGGAUCUCUUGGAAUUCUAGCUCCAAUUGUUAGGUUUUAACAUUCUAAAUUUAAUCUGUGGACCAUUCUUUCCCUUUUAUUUGCGUUCUUUGGUAAAAAAAAUGAAGAUUUCCUGCUUGUGUUAUUUGGUAAUGACUUCUAGAUCAGUAAGAUGAUUACCUCAUCCUAUCCCUUUGUCUAAAGGUGCUCUUAACCCCUGACCACCCAGAUUGCCCUCUGCUUCCUAGGUACAUAGAGAAUCAUUCACAUCUUGCUUAAGGGUUUAUGUAAAUCCUUCUGUAACUCUGUAAGGGUAUAAUAACCUGAUGGAGAAUUACAAGCAACAUGUGGUCAAGCUACAGGGAAAACAGAAGGUUAUUCUUGUGGUGCUGGCCUUUAAGUGUCGAUGAGACCUCCCAUUGUUGCUCAUCGGUGAAUGUGGUCAUCCAAAGAGACUAAGCUUCAUUAUGUUCCGUCAGAUAAAGAGAGGGAGACCUUUAAAUCUUCUCAUGCUUGUGGACUGACUAUCGAUCAAGGAUCAUUGCGGUGGUGGCCACGGUGACGGGGAGAAUGAUCCUCCCUAACAGUUCUUCAAUUCCUCAUCAGCGCUUCGCCCAAUGGACGCUAUGUAUCCGAUCUGCCCGCGCCCGCUCCUCCCGUAUAGAUGAGCCACAUCGUUCUACCGUUCCGCAUCCCCCAGUAUGCAAGCGAUCCUGAGCUUGCUGGUUAACUCUAUGAUCUUUGAGAACAUGUUUGAUCACAUCACCUUCAGUAGAUCAGCAUCUGCACAUGAAUUCAAUGGGCUGGAGCACUUGUCCUUGAUUUAAUUGACCAGAGCCCUCGGCUGGCACUGCUCCCAAAAUUAGAGGUAUAUCUAAGGUAAUGAUUCUGGGUAUGUGCUUUAUAGGAUACAAACAUCUUGGUACUAUCGCCCAUGUUCUUCAUGCCUGAUGUAUGGGGGCGAUGGCCUUGACAUCAGAUUAUAAUUAUAAAUAUAUAUGUUGUUUGUUGUAAAAAAAAUGCAGUGUAUUCAGAGACAGAUUGUAUUGCGGUAUGGUUUACCCCUAAUGUGUACCUUUUCUUUGUUAGCUCUCCGUUGGUAGACAUGUAUGAUUAUCUGAUCUCUAAACUGUUUCAUCUGACUUUCUAAUUAUAUGUGACAUAUAUCAAGUGUGCUUUGACAGACAUAUUAUAGAAACUUCAACAUCUAAAUUCUUUAGAAUAUAGUUUUAUAUCGGUUCAUAUCUGAUCAUACCUUUUUUAUCUUUUACAUAAGAAAUCUUUGCCUUGUCCAGCCACUGAAACAUUUGAGUUGAUAGUUCAUUUUGCCUAAUGCUUGUGGGGAACAUUUUGAUCUAUUUCACCCGUGAGAUAUAUUAGUUGAUACUAUGCAAUUUAAUAUGGAUGUCUCAGUUGUAUCUUAGAAAACUUCUUCAGGGCUUAAUAUUGUUUCUCACUUUUGUUGUUGGGUUUCCAAGGUGCUCUGGGGAUUUGUAGACUUAUAUGGUAAAGCCUCUGAAUGUUUUCUUCAAUAUGUGAACUUUAUUGUGCAGCUUGUAUUUCUUAACUCCUAUAGUUACUGUCAUCUAUCAUAAAACUAAAUUUAUUUCAUACUACCUCAUUGUCAUGAGGUGGCAGGAACAGGGUCUGCUGUUGUGACGUGGCUACAGGAAGGCAGCAGAACAUAAUAUGGCCUUUCUUUCGCCAAAAUCAAGUAAAGCCCCGGCCCAAGAAAUGCAGCAAAGCAAGUCGUCUUUGGUUUGGAGCGAAAUUCCCGGAUGUGUUGCAUUUCAUUUUAUCAUGGUGUGCUCCCAUGAUGUACACAUGUCCACCACAAUGACCACCGAGACGGCUGCAAAAAGACCAUCUCUCGAAGUCUUUAAAUGGUGUUGUGUUACCUUUUUUCCAGAUAGCACAACAUUUGCACUUUAUUGUGUCAAAAUAAGAACACAUUGUUAUAAAAAAUUGGACAUUGUUUCGAGUUCACAUGUACUCCUCCCUGAGUGUUUGAUUUUAAAUGAAAUCUGCUAGAUUGACAAUCCUCUACCUUGGUAGAACUAUAGAUUGU